CAUUUUCCUACGUUGUUAUUUAUGUAAGAUAAAGCCUGCCCACUGAUAAAAUUUAUUUAAAAGGCCGCGGUAAAUUGACCGUGCAAAGGUAGCAUAAUAAUUAGUUUUUUAAUUGAGAACUAGCAUGAAGGGUUUAACAAAUAAUACUUGUCUCAAAUACUGUAUGAACUUAAUUUUCCAAGUAAAAAAGCUUAAAUAAUUUUAUAAGACGAUAAGACCCUAUAAAGCUCUAUAAAACUACUUUUGAUUUUACUGAUAAUCCUUAAAAAGAUUAAAACGGUUUUAUUUAGUUGGGGCGACUAUAAUUACUAAAAUUAAACUACUAUUAGAUUAAAGCUAAAUUAUUAGUUUUAAUGAAUAUCUUUAUAUUGUUUAUUAGUUGAGUUACUUUAGGGAUAACAGCGUAAUAUUUUUAAAGAGUCCAUAUCGAUAAAAAAGUUUGCG
RNAcentral lists this ribosomal RNA (444 nucleotides) under Allobathynella wonjuensis. RNAcentral's name for it is "partial large subunit ribosomal RNA". The record is from RNAcentral. Lineage: Eukaryota; Metazoa; Arthropoda; Malacostraca; Bathynellacea; Parabathynellidae.